CACUCCCCCUCCCCAAGACAGUCUGAGAUUCAAAUUGCAGUUGGAAAAUGUAUCACUUGAGAGAAAGCUCUUCCAGGGGAAAGAAUUCGAAUUGAAGCGAAAGGGAGAUCAGAGGAGAGAGAGGGAGACCCCGCCCCGAUAGUCCAGAACAAGCUGUAACAAAGCAAAGUCCACGGGAGCUUCACGCUCAACCCUCCAACCUGGCUGCGGGCACCAGAGAAGUUCUCCUAACUCAAGCUAAGAAUAGGGAAAAGAAGUCAAGCUCGGGGCCCGGCCCUGCCCCCCGCGGGCGGGGCUGGGGGAGGGGAGGUUUCUCUAGCCGGCUGAAGCUCCCUUGCUUUACCCCGGCCCCUUGGCUGCGGCGGGCUGGGCUGGGGGAGGGGCGCUGAGCCGCAGUGGAGCCUGCCCGGACCUUGUGCUGAGCCGGGUCCAGGGCCAGGGACCCGAGGCCGGACCCAGGCUGACAGCGGCGUACUGGGAGCCGGUGGGGAGAUGGUCAUAGCCGGGACCGCGCAACUGCAGGAGGACGACCAGGAGGAAGUGUUAGGGGAAACCAAGCCUCAGCUCAGCCCGGGCGGCCAGCACCUACCUGAUUCCAGGAAACCGGAGUCCUGCGGCGGCAGGAGAGGUUUGUUGCCAAGUAAGACGGCGGGCAAAGGGCUCCUCCAAGUUUCUGCGCUGGAGUCACAACCCAAGAGGCAUCACCGUCUGGCGUUAGUGUCUGAGAAGCCGCAGGAAUGAGCAGGAGCAGCAGGAGGAGCUGGAGGACUUGUUUUCUGAGGCCAGUAUUCUGUUCAAAAGUUUGCAGACGCACAGAACUAGAAGGAAGCGUGACACCGAGAGAAGGGGGCGAGGAGAGAGAUGGAGAAGGAAGAAAGAGGAGGCGAGGAGCUCAAGUGGGGGUGGGAGACAAAGUGGCCUAAGUCCACCAGGAGAAAGAAUCACGUAAUGAUCGGGUAUCAGAAAAAGACGUCAGCAUCCUAGUCCCUCAAGGAACAUAUUAACUAUUCUGUGCUGUCCUCUUGGAUGAUAAGAUCCGGAGUCAUCGACUUCUCAUAAACACCUUUCACUCAUACAAUCCAAUUUUUAAGAUGUGCAGUUAUUUUGAUGGUUUUCAAUUUUACCCAUUUCUCAAGAUGGGUAACGAAUUCAUAGAAUUUCAAGGAUGGUAAAAGUCAUGUUUUUAAUUAUGUCACUACGAUUUCUCUUUACUUUUCAUCAAGCCCCAGCAAUCAGAGCUCUGGUCUCUGGAAUUAAGCACCAUCAAGCUCUCCUAUUAAUAAAUU
Molecule: non-coding RNA, 1286 nt
Organism: Leptonychotes weddellii (Weddell seal)
Lineage: Eukaryota; Metazoa; Chordata; Mammalia; Carnivora; Phocidae
Source: RefSeq, a predicted model, not a curated record